This 124-nucleotide unclassified non-coding RNA is filed under the name Trichosporon asahii. RNAcentral describes it as "intergenic spacer 1". The record is from RNAcentral. Lineage: Eukaryota; Fungi; Basidiomycota; Tremellomycetes; Trichosporonales; Trichosporonaceae.
AGUGAUUGCCUUAAUAGGCUUAUAACUAUAUCCACUUACACCUGUGAACUGUUCUACUACUUGACGCAAGUCGAGUAUUUUUACAAACAAUGUGUAAUGAACGUCGUUUUAUUAUAACAAAAUA